CUAGCUUGUUAGCUCAUGGUUAGCUAGUUAGCAACAUUAGCCUGGAUAGAUUAGCAGUCUAUUUGUCUAGCCAUUUAAAUGCAUGAGUUUAGAUUUCUUUGGCUUUUAUUAACCAACAGUCUAGCUUGCUAGUGAACUAGCUAGCUAACUUAGAUCGUGAGAUGCUAGGGCUAGGCGUUCUUGAUAAUGUUUGUUUGUGUCUGUGGGUGAGGGGUGGGUUUCCUACUUCAAGUAGUACUUGACUUGUAGCUACCCUAGCUAGAUGGGAUAUUUUAGUCUGGCUUUUUGAAAGGUUUUGGAGAUGGACUGAUUAGCAUCCUCUCGAGUCUUUACAGCGGGAAAACAUUGAUAUGUUUACUGUUAUCCUCUGGACAGCAGAUCAUUAGUAUAGCUAGUAGGCGGGGUGGGGGGUAUUGAUAUAUAAUUCAUGCUCCACUCAAGUUGAACUUGUUGACUGAGGCCACUGAGGCGGCUGCUAAGAAGGGAGCAGCGGCGAACCAGAAGACCUCAGCCAAGGCAGCACUGGUCCACACCUGCCCUGUCUGUCAGUAUAUAUGCAGACCCGAAGAAAUGUAAGCAGCACUUCGAAAGCAAGCAUUACAAGUCUCAAAUGGUCCCAGUACUGGUUGAUGUGAAGGCCUACGUGGCCACACACACUCAAAUGGACCUACAGCUGGGGUAAGAUUCUUCCAUCAUUCACACACAGUAGACAUAGUGUAAACCACCAUGUUGUCAUCAAAAUGCUGUCCUCAAUGCUAUUGUUUAUGGCUCAAUUUGUGGAAAUGCUGUGAUCACUCAUCGUCUUUAAUGUCACACAAUGACCACGAUUUGAAUGCUGCAACUGAGACGGAAUGACGUCGAGGGACACACUCCGAGUCCCCGAGUAUGACUGGACAUGGGUAACAACAACCUAAACGUUGUGUAGAAGCACACCAACACCACAUGUUAUGUUUAUUCCAUGGCCAACCAUCCCUCUAGCUACCCCUUAUUCCACACUAUGCCUUUCAUGCCCCAUGGUCCCUCAACUUCAGACCCUUUGGAACUCUCCAUCUUAUCGCUGUAAACCCACCCUACGUUCACCCAAUUUCCCUAUGCUGCUUCCUUCACUUGUUCUUCUCCUGAAUUUGUGUUGUGAUGUACUGUUUUUGCUACCUUCCUUUCACCUGUGUAAAUUCUGUCCUCCUGCUCAUCCUGGGGUUCAGACUGAAUGCAGUGGUAAAGGUGCUGCCCACAAUUGAUAGCAGCAACAUGGACCUGUUACAUUUACCAGAAGGGUGUUGAUAUAGCUGUGUUUAGGCAUGGCUUCAUG
RNAcentral lists this long non-coding RNA (1309 nucleotides) under Salmo salar (Atlantic salmon). RNAcentral's name for it is "lncRNA (ENSSSAG00000116372.1)". Lineage: Eukaryota; Metazoa; Chordata; Actinopteri; Salmoniformes; Salmonidae. The record is from RNAcentral.